UACGUAGGGUGCAAGCGUUAUCCGGAAUUAUUGGGCGUAAAGAGCGUGUAGGCGGCUUGACAGGUCUGCUGUGAAAACUCGAGGCUCAACCUCGAGAUGUCGGCGGAAACCGUCUGGCUAGAGUCCGGAAGAGGAGAGUGGAAUUCCUGGUGUAGCGGUGAAAUGCGCAGAUAUCAGGAAGAACACCUAUGGCGAAGGCAGCUCUCUGGGACGGUACUGACGCUGAGACGCGAAAGCGUGGGGAGCGAACAGG
Molecule: ribosomal RNA, 253 nt
Filed under: uncultured bacterium
Lineage: Bacteria
Description: partial 16S ribosomal RNA
Rfam family: Bacterial small subunit ribosomal RNA
Source: RNAcentral